This 576-nucleotide ribosomal RNA is filed under the name uncultured bacterium. Its description in RNAcentral is "partial 16S ribosomal RNA". It matches the Rfam family "Bacterial small subunit ribosomal RNA", at positions 355 to 924 of the family's 1533-position model. The record is from RNAcentral.
UGGGGAAUUUUGGACAAUGGGGGAAACCCUGAUCCAGCCAUCCCGCGUGUGCGAUGAAGGCCUUCGGGUUGUAAAGCACUUUUGGCAGGAAAGAAACGUCGCGGGUUAAUACCCCGCGAAACUGACGGUACCUGCAGAAUAAGCACCGGCUAACUACGUGCCAGCAGCCGCGGUAAUACGUAGGGUGCAAGCGUUAAUCGGAAUUACUGGGCGUAAAGCGUGCGCAGGCGGUUCGGAAAGAAAGAUGUGAAAUCCCAGAGCUUAACUUUGGAACUGCAUUUUUAACUACCGGGCUAGAGUGUGUCAGAGGGAGGUGGAAUUCCGCGUGUAGCAGUGAAAUGCGUAGAUAUGCGGAGGAACACCGAUGGCGAAGGCAGCCUCCUGGGAUAACACUGACGCUCAUGCACGAAAGCGUGGGGAGCAAACAGGAUUAGAUACCCUGGUAGUCCACGCCCUAAACGAUGUCAACUAGCUGUUGGGGCCUUCGGGCCUUGGUAGCGCAGCUAACGCGUGAAGUUGACCGCCUGGGGAGUACGGUCGCAAGAUUAAAACUCAAAUGAAUUGACGGGGGUCAUA